Molecule: ribosomal RNA, 293 nt
Filed under: uncultured eukaryote
Lineage: Eukaryota
Description: partial 18S ribosomal RNA
Rfam family: Eukaryotic small subunit ribosomal RNA
Source: RNAcentral
GGUUGAUCCUGCCAGUAGUCAUAUGCUUGUCUCAAAGAUUAAGCCAUGCAUGUCUAAGUAUAAGCAAUUUAUACAGUGAAACUGCGAAUGGCUCAUUAAAUCAGUUAUCGUUUAUUUGAUAGUACCUUUACUACUUGGAUAACCGUGGUAAUUCUAGAGCUAAUACAUGCUAAAAAUCCCGACUGUUUGGAAGGGAUGUAUUUAUUAGAUAAAAAAUCAAUGCUUUUCGGAGCUCUUUGAUGAUUCAUAAUAACUUUUCGAAUCGCAUGGCCUUGUGCUGGCGAUGGUUCAUU